UUGGUGUAGCCUUCUUGAAGUAGGUGUGGCCUUGCUGGAGGAAGUGUGUCACUGGCAGUAGGCUUUAACAUUUCAGAAGAACAAGUCAGGUAGAGUGGUUCUCUCUAUCUUCUGCUGCCUGCAGAUAUGGAUGUAGAAUUCUCAGCACUUUGUUCACCAUAAUGUCUACCUGCCUGCUAACAUACAUAUAAUGGAAUAAAUCUCAGAAUCUCUAAGUAAGCCCCAAUUAAAUGUUUUCUUUACUAAGAAUUGUUGUUUUCAUGCUGUCUCUCUUCACAACAAUAGAAUACUGGCUAACACAAGUGAAUGACAGAAAAAAGCAAAAUAAAAUAUCACUUUAACAAUGAUAGAAGUUUUUUUUCCCAGAAGCCUAAGAUAAAAAAAUAUAAUUCUAGGAUAAAUAAGAAGCUGGAAAAGUGACUUUUCAUUGUUCUGAUUUAUUUUAUAAAUAAACUUCUUCUUCUUGACUAAAUCUACAUUGGAAGGUGAUGAUGUAGGAAGAUUGGUGAAUCAGACUUCAUUUUGUCGGUUUGCAAAGUGCAGUUAGAAAACGAUGUUUUUCCCACAUAUGGACUGGCUUUUAGAAACUUGGAAGAAAUAUGGUCUUUCACUUCUCAAGUCAAUGGGGAAAAACCAAUAUCCAUCACUUGGGCAUGAUAUUGCAAGAAACCGACAAUGCCUCCUUGGAGCAUCACAGGGAUCCGAGACACUCACUUCAAUCUCACAGACAGGUAUUAUCCAAGGGUGGCUCUUCACUUCCAACAAUUGGCCAUGUCUGUGUUGUUUGAUAUAUUGUCAUCUAUCAAAAAAUACAAAUUACUUGAAUGAGUACCUCAUAUCAGAAUGGGAACUUGCUAGGCAUCUUUU
RNAcentral lists this long non-coding RNA (867 nucleotides) under Rattus norvegicus (Norway rat). Its description in RNAcentral is "long non-coding RNA NONRATT024262". Lineage: Eukaryota; Metazoa; Chordata; Mammalia; Rodentia; Muridae. The record is from RNAcentral.